RNAcentral lists this non-coding RNA (124 nucleotides) under Partenskyella glossopodia. The record is from RNAcentral. Lineage: Eukaryota; Cercozoa; Chlorarachniophyceae.
GGAGCCUACCUCUACUACUUCUCCCCUCCUCAAACCGGAGGCGGGGGCGGCGCCAUCGCUGCUCUUGAUGCUCUUGGAUCCCCAGUCACUACCGACUCGUGGUUCAAGACCCACAAGGCCAAUG